This 408-nucleotide ribosomal RNA is filed under the name uncultured soil bacterium. RNAcentral describes it as "bacterial SSU rRNA". It matches the Rfam family "Bacterial small subunit ribosomal RNA", at positions 26 to 428 of the family's 1533-position model. The record is from RNAcentral.
AGAUUGAACGCUGGCGGCAGGCCUAACACAUGCAAGUCGAGCGGCAGCACGGGUACUUGUACCUGGUGGCGAGCGGCGGACGGGUGAGUAAUGCCUAGGAAUCUGCCUGAUAGUGGGGGAUAACGUUCGGAAACGGACGCUAAUACCGCAUACGUCCUACGGGAGAAAGUGGGGAUCUUCGGACCUCACGCUAUCAGAUGAGCCUAGGUCGGAUUAGCUAGUUGGUAGGGUAAAGCCUACCAAGGCUACGAUCCGUAACUGGUCUGAGAGGAUGAUCAGUCACACGUGGAACUGAGACACGGUCCAGACUCCGUACGGGAGCAGCAGGUAGGGAAUAGUUGGACAAGUGGGACAAAGCCUAGACUCCAGCCAUCGCCGCGUGUGUAGAAGUAGGUCUUACGGUAUUAG